GCGGAUGUGGCGGAACUGGCAGACGCACUAGACUUAGGAUCUAGCGCCUCCGGGCAUGCAGGUUCGAUUCCUGUCAUCCGCACCA
RNAcentral lists this transfer RNA (85 nucleotides) under Acholeplasmataceae bacterium. Its description in RNAcentral is "tRNA-Leu". It matches the Rfam family "tRNA". From Rfam's summary of the family: Transfer RNA (tRNA) molecules are approximately 80 nucleotides in length. Their secondary structure includes four short double-helical elements and three loops (D, anti-codon, and T loops). The record is from RNAcentral. RNAcentral also lists the same sequence under 1 other name. Lineage: Bacteria; Bacillati; Mycoplasmatota; Mollicutes; Acholeplasmatales; Acholeplasmataceae.